This 2902-nucleotide ribosomal RNA is filed under the name Klebsiella pneumoniae. Its description in RNAcentral is "23S ribosomal RNA". It matches the Rfam family "Bacterial large subunit ribosomal RNA". The record is from RNAcentral. Lineage: Bacteria; Pseudomonadati; Pseudomonadota; Gammaproteobacteria; Enterobacterales; Enterobacteriaceae.
GGUUAAGCGACUAAGCGUACACGGUGGAUGCCCUGGCAGUCAGAGGCGAUGAAGGACGUGCUAAUCUGCGAAAAGCGUCGGUAAGGUGAUAUGAACCGUUAUAACCGGCGAUGUCCGAAUGGGGAAACCCAGUGCAAUUCGUUGCACUAUCGUUAACUGAAUACAUAGGUUAACGAGGCGAACCGGGGGAACUGAAACAUCUAAGUACCCCGAGGAAAAGAAAUCAACCGAGAUUCCCCCAGUAGCGGCGAGCGAACGGGGAGCAGCCCAGAGUCUGAAUCAGCUUGUGUGUUAGUGGAACGGUCUGGAAAGUCCGACGGUACAGGGUGAUAGUCCCGUACACCAAAAUGCACAGGCUGUGAACUCGAAGAGUAGGGCGGGACACGUGGUAUCCUGUCUGAAUAUGGGGGGACCAUCCUCCAAGGCUAAAUACUCCUGACUGACCGAUAGUGAACCAGUACCGUGAGGGAAAGGCGAAAAGAACCCCGGCGAGGGGAGUGAAAAAGAACCUGAAACCGUGUACGUACAAGCAGUGGGAGCACCUUCGGGUGUGACUGCGUACCUUUUGUAUAAUGGGUCAGCGACUUAUAUUCUGUAGCAAGGUUAACCGUAUAGGGGAGCCGCAGGGAAACCGAGUCUUAACUGGGCGUUAAGUUGCAGGGUAUAGACCCGAAACCCGGUGAUCUAGCCAUGGGCAGGUUGAAGGUUGGGUAACACUAACUGGAGGACCGAACCGACUAAUGUUGAAAAAUUAGCGGAUGACUUGUGGCUGGGGGUGAAAGGCCAAUCAAACCGGGAGAUAGCUGGUUCUCCCCGAAAGCUAUUUAGGUAGCGCCUCGUGAAUUCAUCUUCGGGGGUAGAGCACUGUUUCGGCUAGGGGGUCAUCCCGACUUACCAACCCGAUGCAAACUACGAAUACCGAAGAAUGUUAUCACGGGAGACACACGGCGGGUGCUAACGUCCGUCGUGAAGAGGGAAACAACCCAGACCGCCAGCUAAGGUCCCAAAGUCAUGGUUAAGUGGGAAACGAUGUGGGAAGGCACAGACAGCCAGGAUGUUGGCUUAGAAGCAGCCAUCAUUUAAAGAAAGCGUAAUAGCUCACUGGUCGAGUCGGCCUGCGCGGAAGAUGUAACGGGGCUAAACCAUGCACCGAAGCUGCGGCAGCGACACUAUGUGUUGUUGGGUAGGGGAGCGUUCUGUAAGCCUGCGAAGGUGUGCUGUGAGGCAUGCUGGAGGUAUCAGAAGUGCGAAUGCUGACAUAAGUAACGAUAAAGCGGGUGAAAAGCCCGCUCGCCGGAAGACCAAGGGUUCCUGUCCAACGUUAAUCGGGGCAGGGUGAGUCGACCCCUAAGGCGAGGCCGAAAGGCGUAGUCGAUGGGAAACAGGUUAAUAUUCCUGUACUUGGUGUUACUGCGAAGGGGGGACGGAGAAGGCUAUGUUAGCCGGGCGACGGUUGUCCCGGUUUAAGCAUGUAGGCUGGUUGUCCAGGCAAAUCCGGAUAAUCAAGGCUGAGGUGUGAUGACGAGGCACUACGGUGCUGAAGUAACAAAUGCCCUGCUUCCAGGAAAAGCCUCUAAGCAUCAGGUAACAUCAAAUCGUACCCCAAACCGACACAGGUGGUCAGGUAGAGAAUACCAAGGCGCUUGAGAGAACUCGGGUGAAGGAACUAGGCAAAAUGGUGCCGUAACUUCGGGAGAAGGCACGCUGGUGUGUAGGUGAAGCCCCUGCGGGUGGAGCUGAGACCAGUCGAAGAUACCAGCUGGCUGCAACUGUUUAUUAAAAACACAGCACUGUGCAAACACGAAAGUGGACGUAUACGGUGUGACGCCUGCCCGGUGCCGGAAGGUUAAUUGAUGGGGUUAUCCGUAAGGAGAAGCUCUUGAUCGAAGCCCCGGUAAACGGCGGCCGUAACUAUAACGGUCCUAAGGUAGCGAAAUUCCUUGUCGGGUAAGUUCCGACCUGCACGAAUGGCGUAAUGAUGGCCAGGCUGUCUCCACCCGAGACUCAGUGAAAUUGAACUCGCUGUGAAGAUGCAGUGUACCCGCGGCAAGACGGAAAGACCCCGUGAACCUUUACUAUAGCUUGACACUGAACAUUGAGCCUUGAUGUGUAGGAUAGGUGGGAGGCUUUGAAGCGUGGACGCCAGUCUGCGUGGAGCCAACCUUGAAAUACCACCCUUUAAUGUUUGAUGUUCUAACGUUGGCCCCUGACCGGGGUUGCGGACAGUGUCUGGUGGGUAGUUUGACUGGGGCGGUCUCCUCCCAAAGCGUAACGGAGGAGCACGAAGGUUAGCUAAUCCUGGUCGGACAUCAGGAGGUUAGUGCAAUGGCAUAAGCUAGCUUGACUGCGAGCGUGACGGCGCGAGCAGGUGCGAAAGCAGGUCAUAGUGAUCCGGUGGUUCUGAAUGGAAGGGCCAUCGCUCAACGGAUAAAAGGUACUCCGGGGAUAACAGGCUGAUACCGCCCAAGAGUUCAUAUCGACGGCGGUGUUUGGCACCUCGAUGUCGGCUCAUCACAUCCUGGGGCUGAAGUAGGUCCCAAGGGUAUGGCUGUUCGCCAUUUAAAGUGGUACGCGAGCUGGGUUUAGAACGUCGUGAGACAGUUCGGUCCCUAUCUGCCGUGGGCGCUGGAGAAUUGAGGGGGGCUGCUCCUAGUACGAGAGGACCGGAGUGGACGCAUCACUGGUGUUCGGGUUGUCAUGCCAAUGGCACUGCCCGGUAGCUAAAUGCGGAAGAGAUAAGUGCUGAAAGCAUCUAAGCACGAAACUUGCCCCGAGAUGAGUUCUCCCUGAGACUUUAAGUCUCCUGAAGGAACGUUGAAGACGACGACGUUGAUAGGCCGGGUGUGUAAGCGCAGCGAUGCGUUGAGCUAACCGGUACUAAUGAACCGUGAGGCUUAACCUU